Molecule: ribosomal RNA, 1161 nt
Filed under: Leptolyngbya sp. ATA11-WF-KO3
Lineage: Bacteria; Bacillati; Cyanobacteriota; Cyanophyceae; Leptolyngbyales; Leptolyngbyaceae
Description: bacterial SSU rRNA
Rfam family: Bacterial small subunit ribosomal RNA
Source: RNAcentral
GGGGAAUUUUCCGCAAUGGGCGCAAGCCUGACGGAGCAAUACCGCGUGAGGGAGGAAGGCUCUUGGGUCGUAAACCUCUUUUCUCUGGGAAGAAUAACUGACGGUACCAGAGGAAUCAGCAUCGGCUAACUCCGUGCCAGCAGCCGCGGUAAUACGGGGGAUGCAAGCGUUAUCCGGAAUUAUUGGGCGUAAAGCGUCCGCAGGUGGCUAAUCAAGUCUGUUGUCAAAGCGCGGAGCUUAACUCCGUACAGGCGAUGGAAACUGGUUGGCUAGAGUUAGGUAGGGGUAAGAGGAAUUCCCAGUGUAGCGGUGAAAUGCGUAGAUAUUGGGAAGAACACCGGCGGCGAAAGCGUCUUACUGGGCCUAAACUGACACUGAGGGACGAAAGCUAGGGGAGCGAAAGGGAUUAGAUACCCCUGUAGUCCUAGCCGUAAACGAUGACAACUAGGUGUUGCCCGUAUCGACCCGGGCAGUGCCGUAGCUAACGCGUUAAGUUGUCCGCCUGGGGAGUACGCACGCAAGUGUGAAACUCAAAGGAAUUGACGGGGGCCCGCACAAGCGGUGGAGUAUGUGGUUUAAUUCGAUGCAACGCGAAGAACCUUACCAGGGCUUGACAUGUGCAGAAUCCUCUUGAAAGGGAGGAGUGCCUUCGGGAGCUGCAACACAGGUGGUGCAUGGCUGUCGUCAGCUCGUGUCGUGAGAUGUUGGGUUAAGUCCCGCAACGAGCGCAACCCACGUUUCUAGUUGCCAUCAUUAAGUUGGGCACUUUAGAGAGACUGCCGGUGACAAACCGGAGGAAGGUGUGGAUGACGUCAAGUCAGCAUGCCCCUUACGCCCUGGGCUACACACGUACUACAAUGCUACGGACAAAGGGACGCUAGCCAGCGAUGGUAUGCAAAUCUCAUAAACCGUAGCCCAGUUCAGAUUGCAGGCUGCAACUCGCCUGCAUGAAGGCGGAAUCGCUAGUAAUCGCAGGUCAGCAUACUGCGGUGAAUACGUUCCCGGGCCUUGUACACACCGCCCGUCACACCAUGGGAGUUGGCCACGCCCGAAGUCGUUACUCCAACCUUUCGGGGGGGAGGGCGCCUAAGGCGGGACUGAUGACUGGGGUGAAGUCGUAACAAGGUAGCCGUACCGGAAGGUGUGGCUGGAUCACCUCCU